Molecule: long non-coding RNA, 350 nt
Filed under: Ananas comosus (pineapple)
Lineage: Eukaryota; Viridiplantae; Streptophyta; Magnoliopsida; Poales; Bromeliaceae
Description: long non-coding RNA (ACOM_LNC010721)
Source: RNAcentral
AAACUUCAAAAACUCCCCAGUAGUUUCGUAGUUUCUUACUUUGUCCCUCUAUGAUUUAAAAUGUAUCAAUUUGCUCCCCUAUGAUUUCUUUUUUUUUCUUUUUCUUAUCAAUUUCAUUAUUUUUUUUUCUUAAAUCAGUGAUAAAGUUAAAAUUAAAUGGUACUAAAAUAAAUAUUUGAUAAAUUUAGAUGGAUAUUUGAAGUUUUUUGUAUAUAAUUUAAUGAAAUAUUAACGAAAAAACUAUCAAAAAGAUAAAAACGAAAUCACAGAGGAGCAAAUUGAUACACUUUAAAUUACAGAAUACUAAAGUGAGAAACUACAAAAUCACAGGGGUUUUUUUUUGAAGUUUU